UUUUUUAAUUGAGAACUUGUAUGAAAGGUUGAAUGAAAUAUUAAUUGUUUCAAAAAAAAAUUGAUUAAAAUUUUAUUUUUUAGUUAAAAAGCUAAGAUAUAUAUAAAAGACGAGAAGACCCUAUAAAGUUUUAUAAAAAUAAGUUAAUAAAUUUUAUUUAGGAAAAUAUAAAAAAUUUUUAAUUUAGUUAUUUUAUUGGGGUGAUAAUAAAAUUUAAAAAACUUUUAUAUUUUUAUUUACAAAAAUUAUUGUAUUAAUUAAUGAUCCUUUAUUUAAGAUUAAAAAUUUAAAUUACUUUAGGGAUAACAGCGUAAUAUUUUUUUUAAGUUCAUAUUUGUAAAAAAGAUU
Molecule: ribosomal RNA, 348 nt
Filed under: unidentified
Description: Euceroplatus sp. 2 NB-2020 partial 16S ribosomal RNA
Source: RNAcentral